RNAcentral lists this long non-coding RNA (872 nucleotides) under Salmo trutta (river trout). RNAcentral describes it as "lncRNA (ENSSTUG00000048774.1)". The record is from RNAcentral. Lineage: Eukaryota; Metazoa; Chordata; Actinopteri; Salmoniformes; Salmonidae.
CUGGGACUGAAGGGGAAGGGUGUGUGUGCAGUAGAAGUGUGUGUGUGUGUAGAGGGGGGAGGUGCGUGCAGGCUGAGUAUUAUGGUCUGUCCGUUGCGAGGUAACUAUGCAGAGUUGUGUGAGUGUUACAGAACGCCGAGGGAGGGGGGAUUAUUCUGGGAUGUCUGCCCCCUUUGUGUGUUUGUGAGGAUGUUAGCUAAGCUCUGCUAGCCACUGAGGCUGGGGGAGAGAAGGGGGACGGAGAGUGUGCAACGUGUUUUGCGGGGUCAUUAACGAAAUAUUUUACUGGAUAUUGUUGCUCAUUAAUUUAUAUUAAAGACUAAUACCAUUGCUGAGAGACAAAUAUUACACGAAGGAAACCCAUAUCUAACAGGGACUACAACGAUGAUUGACGGGUGUCCAUUGCUACAGCUUCCUGUGCGGUGUGGACAGAGGCAUGCCAGUUGAAAACAAAUGUUUUUCGAUCGACCUCCCCUCCCCAGGACACCCCCGUUCCAUUCUCCACCACCCACACGUCAUUUGCCCUCCUCCCUCACAAGAUCGGGUAGGGUUCGGUGGAGGGAUUAGCUCGCUUUUAAUUUAAAUUAAUUACUAUUGAAAUAUGUCGGGAAGCGAGGACGAGAGGGAAGACUUGGAACCUACCGGACUUGCACAUGGUAAGACAGCGUCAGCGAUCUAUUUUUUUCAGAACAAGCUUGCAGGUUGGUAACGUUAGUUAACGUUACGUUAGCUAGUUAGCUAGCUACUCAAGUCUGGUGCUAGUAGUGACAAUUUACAUUAGGCAGCCCAGUUCGAUAGCUAGCCGAAUGUUUUGCUUCUACACUAGCUGGCAAACUUGAUAGCACGCUAGCUAGCUACCAAUAGAGAGUGCG